AGAGUUUGAUCCUGGCUCAGGAUAAACGCUGGCGGCGUGCCUAACACAUGCAAGUCGAACGCUCUCUACUUCGGUAGAGGGAGUGGCGGACGGGUGAGUACCACGUGGGUUAUCUACCUCUCGGUGAGGAAUACCGGCGAGAAAUCGCCGACAAUACCGCAUAUCCUUCGCAAGAAGGAAAGUCGUAAGACGCCGGGGGAGGAGCCUGCGCCCGAUUAGCUGGUUGGUGGGGUAAAAGCUUACCAAGGCUUCGAUCGGUAGCUGGUCUGAGAGGAUGAUCAGCCACACUGGGAUUGAGAACGGCCCAGACUCCUACGGGGGGCAGCAGUGAGGAAUUUUCGUCAAUGGGGGCAACCCUGAACGAGCAACGCCGCGUGCAGGAUGACACUUUUCGGAGCGUAAACUGCUUUUCUUGGGGACGAGCACAGGACGGUACCCAAGGAAUCAGCCCCGGCUAACUACGUGCCAGCAGCCGCGGUAAUACGUAGGGGGCGAGCGUUGUCCGGAGUUACUGGGCGUAAAGCGCACGCAGGCGGUCCGGUACGUUCGGAGUGACAAUUCUCGGCUUAACUGAGAAGGGUCUUCGAAAACGGCCGGACUUGAGGGCUCACGAGGGACACGGAAUUCCGGGUGGAGUGGUGAAAUGCGUAGAUAUCCGGAGGAACACCAAAGGCGAAGGCAGUGUCCUGGGGAGUCCCUGACGCUCAGGUGCGAAAGCCAGGGGAGCAAACGGGAUUAGAUACCCCGGUAGUCCUGGCCGUAAACGAUGACCACGAGAUGUCCGGGGGAUCGACCCCCUGGGUGUCGCAGCUAACGCAGUCAGUGGUCCGCCUGGGGAGUACGGUCGCAAGAUUAAAACUCAAAGGAAUUGACGG
This 875-nucleotide ribosomal RNA is filed under the name uncultured bacterium. Its description in RNAcentral is "bacterial SSU rRNA". It matches the Rfam family "Bacterial small subunit ribosomal RNA", at positions 8 to 916 of the family's 1533-position model. The record is from RNAcentral.